CUUAAUUUAUGGCGCAGGUCUCUUGUUUUUAGAUGAAGUAGCAUGAUCUAUUAUAAUAUGUGAUUCUAUGGAUUAUUUUGCUGUCUAAAUCUUCUGGAUAAUCUUUUUUACGCCAUGUGCACCUUGAAGAAAAUAGUCUUGCAGCCUGUAGUGGUGAAGUAUUGGUAUACUUGUUGACAUCACACAUUUUGUGUUUAAGGGUGUGAUUUUUUCACUUAUAGUUCUGAUAGCCAGAAAGCUGAAUGAAAAUACAUUUAGUUAGUCUUUUCUUUAAGCUUCUUCUCGAUUUUGCAGUAUCCUUAUUUGAGCCUAGCACAUGGCAAGCACUUAAGUUUUUUGAAAGGGUACUCAAACUCAAGAAAAAAAUGAAUUGCUUGCCAAGUUUGGCAUUGAUUACAAUGCAUUACCAAUUAUCUUUCGGAUGGGGUCCUCUGUUUUCCGGGACAGAGAUGGACCAACAGGAAAUGACAGAGUAGUUGUUGAACACUGUAACAUAAUUGAGACGAGCUUUUGGAAAGAACAUCCAAGAAUACUCGAUGAGGAGGAAUCAUUGCUAACAAUUUUACGGCCCCAUAGCAAUAAAAUGCUUCGAUUGUCUUGAAGUUGAGGAGCUGCUACCUAAGUUAUUAACCAUAUCCAGUUUUAAUCACAUUAGAAAAGUAGUUCCAAACUUUGUCAAAUAUGUAGAU
Molecule: long non-coding RNA, 689 nt
Organism: Solanum tuberosum (potato)
Lineage: Eukaryota; Viridiplantae; Streptophyta; Magnoliopsida; Solanales; Solanaceae
Exons: 3
Source: RefSeq, a predicted model, not a curated record